GAUGAAGAACGUAGCGAAAUGCGAUAAGUAAUGUGAAAUGCAGAAUUCAGUGAAUCAUCGAAUCUUUGAACGCACAUUGCGCCCCUUGGUAUUCCGGGGGGCAUGCCUGUUCGAGCGUCAUUAUCACCCCUCAAGCUCAGCUUGGUGUUGGGGCCUGCCGUCAAGGCAGCCCUUAAAAUCAGUGGCGGCGCCAUCUGGCUCUAAGCGUAGUAAUUCUUCUCGCUGUUGAGCUCCGGUGGUCGCCCGCCAGCAACCCCCAACUUUUACAGUUUGACCUGGGAUGAGGUAGGGAUACCCGCUGAACUUAAGCAUAUCAAUAAGCGGAGGA
This 328-nucleotide unclassified non-coding RNA is filed under the name soil metagenome. Its description in RNAcentral is "partial contains 5.8S ribosomal RNA, internal transcribed spacer 2, and large subunit ribosomal RNA". The stretch from base 1 to 120 matches the Rfam family "5.8S ribosomal RNA", at positions 35 to 154 of the family's 154-position model. The record is from RNAcentral.